This 468-nucleotide ribosomal RNA is filed under the name uncultured bacterium. RNAcentral's name for it is "partial 16S ribosomal RNA". It matches the Rfam family "Bacterial small subunit ribosomal RNA", at positions 28 to 507 of the family's 1533-position model. The record is from RNAcentral.
GACGAACGCUGGCGGCGUGCUUAACACAUGCAAGUCGAACGGAAAGGCCCUGCUUUUGUGGGGUGCUCGAGUGGCGAACGGGUGAGUAACACGUGAGUAACCUGCCCUUGACUUUGGGAUAACUUCAGGUAACUGGGGCUAAUACCGGAUAGGAGCUCCUGCUGCAUGGUGGGGGUUGGAAAGUUUCGGCGGUUGGGGAUGGACUCGCGGCUUAUCAGCUUGUUGGUGGGGGAGUGGCUUACCAAGGCUUUGACGGGUAGCCGGCCUGAGAGGGUGACCGGCCACAUUGGGACUGAGAUACGGCCCAGACUCCUACGGGAGGCAGCAGUGGGGAAUAUUGCACAAUGGGCGGAAGCCUGAUGCAGCAACGCCGCGUGCGGGAUGACGGCCUUCGGGUUGUAAACCGCUUUCGCCUGUGACGAAGCGUGAGUGACGGUAAUGGGUAAAGAAGCACCGGCUAACUACGUG